UACGUAGGGGGCAAGCGUUGUCCGGAAUCAUUGGGCGUAAAGAGCGCGUAGGCGGUUUUGCAAGCCGGAUGUGAAAUCCCCGGGCUUUAACCUGGGAAUGGCAUUUGGGACUGCAAGGCUGGAGUGCGGCAGAGGAGACUGGAAUUCCUGGUGUAGCAGUGAAAUGCGUAGAUAGUCGGGAGGAACACCAGUGGCGAAGGCGGCUCACUGGCUCGUAACUGACGCUCAGGCGCGACAGCGUGGGGAUCAAACAGG
Molecule: ribosomal RNA, 255 nt
Filed under: uncultured bacterium
Lineage: Bacteria
Description: partial 16S ribosomal RNA
Rfam family: Bacterial small subunit ribosomal RNA
Source: RNAcentral